RNAcentral lists this ribosomal RNA (462 nucleotides) under uncultured bacterium. Its description in RNAcentral is "partial 16S ribosomal RNA". It matches the Rfam family "Bacterial small subunit ribosomal RNA", at positions 28 to 507 of the family's 1533-position model. The record is from RNAcentral.
GACGAGCGCUGGCGGCGUGCUUAACACAUGCAAGUCGAGCGGAAAGGCCCUUCGGGGUACUCGAGCGGCGAACGGGUGAGUAACACGUGAGUAACCUGCCCCAGACUUUGGGAUAACCCUCGGAAACGGGGGCUAAUACCGGAUACGACACAGCUUCGCAUGGGGUCUGUGUGGAAAGUUUUUCGGUUUGGGAUGGGCUCGCGGCCUAUCAGCUUGUUGGUGGGGUGAUGGCCUACCAAGGCGACGACGGGUAGCCGGCCUGAGAGGGCGACCGGCCACACUGGGACUGAGACACGGCCCAGACUCCUACGGGAGGCGGCAGUGGGGAAUAUUGCACAAUGGGCGGAAGCCUGAUGCAGCGACGCCGCGUGAGGGAUGACGGCCUUCGGGUUGUAAACCUCUUUCAGCAGGGACGAAGCGUAAGUGACGGUACCUGCAGAAGAAGCGCCGGCCAACUACGUG